RNAcentral lists this ribosomal RNA (400 nucleotides) under uncultured bacterium. Its description in RNAcentral is "bacterial SSU rRNA". It matches the Rfam family "Bacterial small subunit ribosomal RNA", at positions 355 to 769 of the family's 1533-position model. The record is from RNAcentral.
UGGGGAAUUUUGGACAAUGGGGGAAACCCUGAUCCAGCAACGCCGCGUGAGGGACGAAGGUCUUCGGAUUGUAAACCUCUUUUGUAAGGGACGAAUUAAUUGACGGUACCUUACGAAUAAGUCACGGCUAACUUCGUGCCAGCAGCCGCGGUAAUACGAAGGUGGCUAGCGUUACUCGGAAUGACUAGGCGUAAAGCGCAGGUAGGUGGUAAGGCAAGUCUGUGAUGAAAUCUCCCGGCUUAACUGGGAGGGGUUUAUGGAAACUGCCUUGCUCGAGUGUGGGAGGGGAUGCUGGAAUUCCUGGUGUAGCGGUGAAAUGCGUAGAUAUCAGGAGGAACACCAAUGGCGAAAGCAGGCAUCUGGCCCAAUACUGACGCUGAGCUGCGAAAGCUAGGGGAGC